RNAcentral lists this ribosomal RNA (1302 nucleotides) under Salmonella enterica. Its description in RNAcentral is "partial 23S ribosomal RNA". It matches the Rfam family "Bacterial large subunit ribosomal RNA", at positions 624 to 1907 of the family's 2925-position model. The record is from RNAcentral. Lineage: Bacteria; Pseudomonadati; Pseudomonadota; Gammaproteobacteria; Enterobacterales; Enterobacteriaceae.
CGACUUAUAUUCUGUAGCAAGGUUAACCGGAUAGGGGAGCCGCAGGGAAACCGAGUCUUAACCGGGCGUUAAGUUGCAGGGUAUAGACCCGAAACCCGGUGAUCUAGCCAUGGGCAGGUUGAAGGUUGGGUAACACUAACUGGAGGACCGAACCGACUAAUGUUGAAAAAUUAGCGGAUGACCUGUGGCUGGGGGUGAAAGGCCAAUCAAACCGGGAGAUAGCUGGUUCUCCCCGAAAGCUAUUUAGGUAGCGCCUCGUGAACUCAUCUUCGGGGGUAGAGCACUGUUUCGGCUAGGGGGUCAUCCCGACUUACCAACCCGAUGCAAACUGCGAAUACCGGAGAAUGUUAUCACGGGAGACACACGGCGGGUGCUAACGUCCGUCGUGAAGAGGGAAACAACCCAGACCGCCAGCUAAGGUCCCAAAGUCAUGGUUAAGUGGGAAACGAUGUGGGAAGGCCCAGACAGCCAGGAUGUUGGCUUAGAAGCAGCCAUCAUUUAAAGAAAGCGUAAUAGCUCACUGGUCGAGUCGGCCUGCGCGGAAGAUGUAACGGGGCUAAACCAUGCACCGAAGCUGCGGCAGCGACGCUUAUGCGUUGUUGGGUAGGGGAGCGUUCUGUAAGCCGUUGAAGGUGGCCUGUGAGGGUUGCUGGAGGUAUCAGAAGUGCGAAUGCUGACAUAAGUAACGAUAAAGCGGGUGAAAAGCCCGCUCGCCGGAAGACCAAGGGUUCCUGUCCAACGUUAAUCGGGGCAGGGUGAGUCGACCCCUAAGGCGAGGCCGAAAGGCGUAGUCGAUGGGAAACAGGUUAAUAUUCCUGUACUCGGUGUUACUGCGAAGGGGGGACGGAGAAGGCUAUGUUGGCCGGGCGACGGUUGUCCCGGUUUAAGCAUGUAGGCGGGUGUUCCAGGUAAAUCCGGAACGCUGUUAACGCUGAGGUGUGAUGACGAGGCACUACGGUGCUGAAGCAACAAAUGCCCUGCUUCCAGGAAAAGCCUCUAAGCAUCAGGUAACAUCAAAUCGUACCCCAAACCGACACAGGUGGUCAGGUAGAGAAUACCAAGGCGCUUGAGAGAACUCGGGUGAAGGAACUAGGCAAAAUGGUGCCGUAACUUCGGGAGAAGGCACGCUGAUGGUAGGUGAAGUGAUUUACUCAUGGAGCUGAAAUCAGUCGAAGAUACCAGCUGGCUGCAACUGUUUAUUAAAAACACAGCACUGUGCAAACACGAAAGUGGACGUAUACGGUGUGACGCCUGCCCGGUGCCGGAAGGUUAAUUGAUGGGGUUAUCCUCGCGGAGAAGCUC